This 855-nucleotide ribosomal RNA is filed under the name Hymenoscyphus fraxineus. RNAcentral's name for it is "eukaryotic LSU rRNA". It matches the Rfam family "Eukaryotic large subunit ribosomal RNA", at positions 71 to 943 of the family's 3401-position model. The record is from RNAcentral. Lineage: Eukaryota; Fungi; Ascomycota; Leotiomycetes; Helotiales; Helotiaceae.
GGGAUUACCUCAGUAACGGCGAGUGAAGCGGUAACAGCUCAAAUUUGAAAUCUGGCGCUUUCAGCGUCCGAGUUGUAAUUUGUAGAAGAUGCUUUGGGUGUGGCUCCGGUCUAAGUUCCUUGGAACAGGACGUCAUAGAGGGUGAGAAUCCCGUAUGUGACUGGCUGCCUUCGCCCGUGUAAAGCUCUUUCGACGAGUCGAGUUGUUUGGGAAUGCAGCUCUAAAUGGGAGGUAUAUUUCUUCUAAAGCUAAAUAUUGGCCAGAGACCGAUAGCGCACAAGUAGAGUGAUCGAAAGAUGAAAAGCACUUUGGAAAGAGAGUUAAACAGUACGUGAAAUUGUUGAAAGGGAAGCGCUUGCAACCAGACUUGCCUGCGGUCGAUCAUCCUGGGUUCUCCCUGGUGCACUCGAUCGUGGUCAGGCCAGCAUCGGUUUCGGUGGUGGGAUAAAGGCCUUGGGAAUGUAGCAGUCUUCGGGCUGUGUUAUAGCCCUCGGUGCAAUGCCGCCUACCGGGACCGAGGACCGCGCUUCGGCUAGGAUGCUGGCGUAAUGGUUGUAAGCGACCCGUCUUGAAACACGGACCAAGGAGUCUAACAUCUAUGCGAGUGUUUGGGUGUUAAACCCAUACGCGUAAUUAACGUGAACGGAGGUGAGAACCCUUAAGGGUGCAUCAUCGACCGAUCCUGAUGUCUUCGGAUGGAUUUGAGUAAGAGCAUAGCUGUUGGGACCCGAAAGAUGGUGAACUAUGCCUAAAUAGGGUGAAGCCAGAGGAAACUCUGGUGGAGGCUCGCAGCGGUUCUGACGUGCAAAUCGAUCGUCAAAUUUGGGUAUAGGGGCGAAAGACUAAUCGAACCAU